UAAUGAUUAAGAGGGACAGACGGGGGCAUUCAUAUUGCGACGUUAGAGGUGAAAUUCUUGGAUCGUCGCAAGAUGAACUACUGCGAAAGCAUUUGCCAAGCAUGUUUUCAUUAAUCAAGAACGAAAGUUAGAGGUUCGAAGGCGAUCAGAUACCGCCCUAGUUCUAACCGUAAACGAUGCCAACCAGCAAUCUGCGGGAGUUAUUCAAUGACUCUGCGGGCGGCUUCAGGGAAACCAAAGUUUUUGGGUUCCGGGGGAAGUAUGGUUGCAAAGCUGAAACUUAAAGGAAUUGACGGAAGGGCACAACCAGGAGUGGAGCCUGCGGCUUAAUUUGACUCAACGCGGGGAAACUCACCCGGCCCGGACACUGUAAGGAUUGACAGAUUGAAAGCUCUUUCUUGAUUCAGUGGAUGGUGGUGCAUGGCCGUUCUUAGUUGGUGGAGCGAUUUGUCUGGUUAAUUCCGAUAACGAACGAGACUCCGGCCUACUAACUAGAGCGUAGAUUUUUUGUCUACGAUACUUCUUAGAGGGACUCGGGGCGUCUAGCCUCACGAAACGGAGCGAUAACAGGUCUGUAAUGCCCUUAGAUGUCCGGGGCCGCACGCGCGCUACACUGAAGGAAGCAACUAGUGAUACCUUGGUUUGAAAAGACUGAGUAACCUGUUGAAGCUCCUUCGUGAUUGGGAUAGGGACUUGCAAUUAUUUCCCUUGAACGAGGAAUUCCUAGUAAGUGUGGGUCAUCAUCUCGCUUUGAUUACGUCCCUGCCCUUUGUACACACCGCCCGUCGCUACUACGAAGUGAAUGAAGUACUGAAAUCGACGGAUUGGACCUUUGGUGGCUUCACGGCUGCCAUUGUGCCUGAGAAAUCGCUUAAAGUGCUUCAUUUCGACGAAGUAAAAGUCGUAACAAGGUUUCCGUAGGUGAACCUGCAGAAGGAUCA
This 941-nucleotide ribosomal RNA is filed under the name uncultured eukaryote. Its description in RNAcentral is "bacterial SSU rRNA". It matches the Rfam family "Eukaryotic small subunit ribosomal RNA", at positions 863 to 1828 of the family's 1831-position model. The record is from RNAcentral.